AGAAAAGUACAGUCCUAGCUGGGCACGGUGGCUCACGCCUGUAAUCCGAGCACUUUGGGAGGCUAAGGUGGGCAGAACACCUGAGGUCGGGAGUUCGAGACCAGCCUGACCAACAUGGAGAAACCCUGUCUCUACUAAAAAAUACAAAAAUUAGCUGGGCGUGGUGGCACAUGUUUAUAAUCCAGCUAAUCUGGAGGCUGAGAUCUGCCGGCAGGCCCUGAAGUUUCUGACACAGAUCCGGGCCCAGCCCCUCAUCAACCUGCAGUUGGUGAACGCGUCUCUGUACGAGCAUGUGGAGCGGAUGCACCUCAUUGGGAGGAGCCGGGAGCAGCUGAAGCUCCUGGGGGAUUACCUGGGCCUGUGCCGGAGCGGUGCCCUGAAGGAGCUCAGCAAGAGGCUCAACCACAGGAAUUAUCUCUUGGAGUCUCCGCAUAGGUUCAGUGUUGCUGACCUCCAGCAGAUCGCAGACGGGGUGUAUGA
RNAcentral lists this small RNA (480 nucleotides) under Pongo abelii (Sumatran orangutan). RNAcentral's name for it is "processed transcript". Lineage: Eukaryota; Metazoa; Chordata; Mammalia; Primates; Hominidae. The record is from RNAcentral.